AUGAAGAAACACCGAGAAAAAUAAAAAAAGCAAAAGGCUGUGAAGAAACAACAACCCUUACCACUGAAACGCGAGAGAUUCAUGUGCAAGAGAAACUAGGGAAAGAGAAGAAGAACAAAAAGAAGAAGAAGAAGAAGAAAAGCUUAUUGCCAGAAAAGAAAGGGUAUAGAGGAAGAAAACAAAGGUAUGCAGCAUAGUUGAAGCGAGCAUAUAUUAUCCCUGCAGGCGUUCGUUUUUCCAUACAGGCUACCGGCUUUGUUCAUGCCCUACCUGCCAGCUUCGUUCUUGCUGUUGCAUAUGAUCUCCGACUAAGCUGGGGUUUGACUAGCACGGCGCAUGGCCGAUGGCUUGCUCAUGGAAACGGCAUCCCGAUACAGUUUUUGAGACUUCCGAUGGUGGUCGACGGCAACGCCUACGGCCUACUUCUUCUCCCUCCACCUCUACCUCCAGCCUCCAACUGCGGAAAUGAGAAGGACAAAUCGAAGAGGUUGGAAAGAGAUGCUUAUAUAUGGCUCUGAUCUGACGUUGGUUGUGGGUGGAUGAUGGCAUCCGGAUCUAAUCACUAGCCAUAAACGAUAAAGGAUGAACCUUAGAGUCUCUGCACAAACGCAGCGAUCUGACAUUGGUGGUAAACGACUUGUGUUGUGAGAGGUGGAGACAGCUUCAUCAUCAUCAUCAUCCAGGCGGAUGGCGGAUUCCAAUCUCCUGAGGGCUUGAGCCUCCAUGCAGUACAAACGGUGGUGCAAUAUGAUGUUAAUAAUAAAUAAGCUUCCAAUUGAUCAAAACUCUGAAGACAGCAAGCCAAGACAUAGAAGCACGAGACAAGGCAAAUGGGAUGGAGGAAGUCCAACGUUAUGUAAUGAUUACGUGUCCUAUAGCCGGGGAGUAUUUGGUGGCUACUGAACAGAUCUAUUAGGAGCAAUUUGAUGAAUCAUUUGAGGAGCUGGGUUUGUGUCUCAAGGAUGGCUAUACAGGGUAAACUGGUCCGCUCCCGAUUGUCGAAAAUAUAUUGGAAAAGUAAGUUGAAGUGACGUGGAUAUUACAAUUGGAGAAAUUCAUGAGGGUAAGUAUGUUUAUAGCUUAGAAAAUCAUUGAAAGUAGCGUCAGUUGUAGUAUUGUGUUGUUUGCUUGAACAUUUGCUUGCAACCUAUGUAAUACUAAGUUUAAAAGGUUCUUCUCAAAUAAUUAUCAUCAUUUUCUUUGACAAAUUCUUUUAUAUAGGGCACUUAUAAAAAAAAAAAAAAGGUCUUUUAUGUGGGUCAAAGCCAAGAAGCUAACAUGUUCCUCCUUUGAUAACUCUGGCAAAGCUGUUCUGGUUGACUUUUAUGCAACUUGUUUGGUUCUUCCCUACUUAUGUUUAUUUUUUUCUCUUCCCUUCUUUUUUCAGAUUUUGCUAACAGCUAUGAUGUCUCUGACUAUUUUGUAAGCCUAUGUUAUCACCUUAAGCCAUAACGUGCGGGAUCAUCUUGCUGGAAAACUUUAUAAGCAUUUUAUCGUAAUUGUCUAGAUUUAUGUUUGUCUUGUCAGUAAUCUUUCAUUCGUGAAGCGAAUUCGUAUUGUUCACCUUAGACCCUAUUGAGAGGGGUGUGGCGUUUAGUUUAGGAAUAAUUCCAUGUUCUUGGUAAUCUCUAGAAUAGCAAAAUUGAGUAGGAUCAUAUUUAAAUUUAAUCGGAAGAAUGAGUAACCCUAGGUAUGGUUUGCAUGUGGUCUUUGUCAAUUCAUGGAUCCCAUCCUCAACGAAGUCAAUACUUAGCUGGAGUAUAAGAUAUAGAUGGUGAAAAUUGAUGAUAAAUACAAAAUAGAAGCGAUGCCUACAUUCAUCGUAUUUAAGGACAGAAAACCUUAUGAUUGAAUUUGCAUCUCUCUUGCUCUUGUGUGGAAUCCAACUGUAUCCCUCUAGAUGUUUUUUCUUACGAAAGUAAUCAAUAAGCCCAUUCUUAGACUUGUAGAAGGACCUCUGCCCUCUCUGACUUGUCUUGGAUUGUACAAAUUUUUUGGUUUUGACCUGUCUCAUUUAUGUUGACUAACUGGAUCUCAUGAGAGAUUUUAAUUGUGUAAAUUGCUUUUUUUUUUGUUAACAAUGAAGUCAGUUAAUCUCCCCUAAACUUUAAAUGUGAGAAAUCAACCCCCUAGACUAUGGGGUCUAUAGCAAUAUCUCUCUUCCUAAAGUUUCUUUAAUAUUCCCUAUACUUAAACUUAAAUUCACAUACUUAUCACAUUUCAUGGUAUCACAUGCUUAUUUUUCUUUUAUUUUCCUGUGCUCGCGAAGUAAGCAUGUGAAAGUUAAUCAUAUUUUUUAAAUUUAUACAGGGGACAUUGCAAAUGACCCUAUUGUUUAGGGUGGGAAAGUUCAAUUUACCUUAAUUUUAAUUUGGAAAUGCAUUUUUAAAGUUAUGGGUUGUGCUUUGCUCUUUUAGUGAUAUUUUGAUCACUAUAUAUAUAUAUAUAUAUAUAAACAUGUACAUGUUAAAUGAUAUUUAGAAUAUACUUUGUUCACAUCCGGUCCAAGAUAUUUCUUUUUAGCAGACGUAUAAAGAACCCAUAUUUAUUUCGACUGCAUGUUGUAAAUAUUUGUGUGGUGCAGAAAACCUAUGGAGGAGAAAAAAAAAUGUGCACUGACGCAAUCAAGUAAAUUCCCUUGAUUUCUUAUUAGGAAAAAAAAAAUCCUUUGCUUUCCAUUGGGGCAAAAGAGGGAUAAUGUGAUCUCUUGACAAAUGUCAAGUAUUAAAACCCGUACUAAAGGAGCCUUGGUGAUUUUGUAUUGUUUGGCUUAAAUUAGUUAUUUCUUCAAUCUUUUUUGUGUGCUUAAGUUACUUUGUUUAGUCUUAUCGAACUGUAAAAAAUUGGUCUAUCAAACUCUCAUGUGUUCUAAUUGUUUUGCAUCUCACAUCUUGUUUUUGGUUGACAUGGGAGCUUUCACUACCAUAUUGAACGGGCUGGAAGCCUAUUUUGUUUGGAGCAAGAACAAGCAUGUUUGGAGCAUAGAGGCAAAAAAGACGGUGCGACUAAAAGAAAUUUUAAUCUCAAAAGUCAUGUUCCACUAACACUCAAUAUUAAUUAAUUUGUUUGAAUUUUAUAGAUAGCAAAUAGACUAGUCGGGGUGACUAGCGUAUAUUGGUGCCAUAGUAAGUUAUCUCCACACUCAUUCAAUGAAAGCCGGGAUGUAUAUAAAGUGAAUAGUUUAUCAUUUGCCAAAAAUAUGCAAGUAAAAAUAACAAAAUUUUGAAACGAUGCCUUUAUAUACAUCCCAGCUUUCAUCGAAUGAGUGUGGAGAUAACUUACUAUGGCACCAAUAUCAACAAGAUUUCUGAUUUUAUUUUGAUACGACUUAUUAGCAAUUGAGGAGAUCUUUGUUUAUAUAAAAGUAGACGAUUAUGCAUGUUAAGAUUUUGUAUCUUUAUGUGUUGUAUUAUAUCUUGAUAUCAACUAAUUACUAGUAUAUUAAAAAAAAAAAAAAACUAACUAGUGAUAACCGUAAACCCACGUCACCCCACUUGUGAUAAUAGAGAGUCUUGAUAAGAUUGUAUAUGUAGAUAACUUCUAGUAUACUUUAUAUGUCAAAUGUACGUGGAUAGAUAGUUCUUCUGCUUGUAUUUUGAACUCUAGAUUAUUUAGAUCUUAUGUGAUUACUCACAAUACAAUACCUCUUGUAUAAAUAUAUUAUGGUACACUUCAAACUC
Molecule: long non-coding RNA, 3680 nt
Organism: Corylus avellana
Lineage: Eukaryota; Viridiplantae; Streptophyta; Magnoliopsida; Fagales; Betulaceae
Source: RefSeq, a predicted model, not a curated record